RNAcentral lists this ribosomal RNA (1385 nucleotides) under Neoperla ignacsiveci. RNAcentral's name for it is "16S ribosomal RNA". The stretch from base 659 to 1385 matches the Rfam family "Archaeal large subunit ribosomal RNA", at positions 1423 to 2810 of the family's 2987-position model. The record is from RNAcentral. Lineage: Eukaryota; Metazoa; Arthropoda; Insecta; Plecoptera; Perlidae.
UGUUUAAAUGUAGGGGAAGAGAAAUGUUUAUAUAACAGGAUUUAUUGUUUGGUAAGAAUUGGGGAUAAUUUAAUAAAAAUAUUUUGAAUAAGUGAGAUUGAAGUUUAAGUAGAGAAGAGGGAAAAAAUAAUUAUAGUUAUAGUUUUAUAGUACUGAGAAGGAAGUUUUAGAAAUAAAUAAUUUAAGAUUUAAGUUUGUUAAAAGAAAGUUUUGUUUGCUGUACCUUGUGUAUCAGGGUUGAUUAAUAAAAUUGAAUGGAUAUUUAAGUUCCCGAUUUGAAGAGAGCUACUUUGGUUUGUUCGUUUAAUGUGGAAAAAUUAUUUUGAAGGCUAAAGUAGAAAUUAGAUGUUAAUCGUUCUUCAAGGUAUCUGGUUUCCUAGGAAAUAAAUUUAAUUUAGUUAUUGAAUUUCAUUAGUUUUAAUUGGUGUUAAGAUAUUGAUGGUUUAGUAAUAAUAGACUGGGGGAUGAGCUCUGGUUUAUUGCUUAAAAUUUUUUUUUGAAGUUAAGCGAUCUAUGCUUAGAAGUAGCAAUGGUUUGAAAAGUGUUAUAACUUAAUUAAAAUGUUUAAUAAAAUUUAUGGAAAAUUUAAGUAAUUUAUUAGGAUGGGAUUUGGAAUGAAAAGGAAUUUGCAAUAAUGAUUAAAUUAGUAUAAUAAAGUUGUUGAUUAUAGAUUAUUUGGAGAAGUCAGGGUAAGGAACUAGGCAAAGAUUUUACUCGCCUGUUUAUCAAAAACAUGUCUUCUUGUGAAAGUUGAAUUUGAAGUUUGGCCUGCCCACUGAGAAUUAUUGAAGGGCCGCGGUAUAUUGACCGUGCAAAGGUAGCAUAAUCAUUAGUCUUUUAAUUGAAGGCUGGAAUGAAUGGUUGAACGAGGUAUAAGCUGUCUCAUCUUGAGUGAUAUAUUAGAAAUUAACUUUUGAGUGAAAAGGCUCAAAUGAUUUUAAGGGACGAGAAGACCCUAUAGAGCUUUACUCUCAUCUUAAGCUUUAGAUUAUUUAGAAGUUGAUUGAUUUGGAGUUAUUAGGAGAGUUUUAUUGGGGUGAUGGGAAGAUAAGAAAAACUCUUUUUGAAUUUUUUACUAGGAUGGUAGAUAAUAAUUGAUCCUUUAUUAAGAUUGUAAGACUAAGUUACCUUAGGGAUAACAGCGUAAUCUUUUUUGAGAGUUCUUAUCGACAAAAAGGGUUGCGACCUCGAUGUUGGAUUAAGGUGAAUUUUGGGUGUAGCAGUUCAAAUUUUUAGGUCUGUUCGACCUUUAAAUCCUUACAUGAUCUGAGUUCAGACCGGCGUGAGCCAGGUCGGUUUCUAUCUUUAUAGAGUUAAGGAUGUUUUAGUACGAAAGGACCAAAUAUCCGGAAUAUUUCUUUGAUUAAGAUUAAUUUUAAAUUUUU